RNAcentral lists this ribosomal RNA (497 nucleotides) under uncultured bacterium. Its description in RNAcentral is "partial 16S ribosomal RNA". It matches the Rfam family "Bacterial small subunit ribosomal RNA", at positions 28 to 507 of the family's 1533-position model. The record is from RNAcentral.
GACGAACGCUGGCGGCGUGCCUAAUACAUGCAAGUUGAGCGCUGAAGCUUGGUACUUGUACCAACUAGAUGAGCGGCGAACGGGUGAGUAACGCGUGGGUAAUCUGCCUUUGAGCGGGGGACAACAUUUGGAAACGAAUGCUAAUACCGCAUAAUAUCUUUAAACACAAGUUUUAAGUUUGAAAGAUGCUAUUGCAUCACCCAAAGAUUAUCCCGCGUUGGAAUAAGUAGUUGGUGAAGUAAAGGCCCACCCAAGCGAAGAUACCGAGGCGGACUGAGAAGGUGGUCCGCCAAAACGGGACUGAGAACCGGGCCAAACCCCUUCGGGAAGGAGCAGUAGGGAAACUUCGGCAAUGGACGAAAGUCUGGCCGGGCAAAGCCGCCGGGGGGAAGGAGGGUUUCGGAUCGUAAAAAUCUGGUGAUAGGGAAGAACGUAGGGGGUAGUGAAAAGUUCAUCUAGUGACGGUACCUACUCAGAAAGGCACGGCUAACUACGUG